RNAcentral lists this long non-coding RNA (1252 nucleotides) under Marmota monax (woodchuck). The record is from RNAcentral. Lineage: Eukaryota; Metazoa; Chordata; Mammalia; Rodentia; Sciuridae.
UAAAAAAAAAGAAAUAAUAUCAGAAAUUAAUUUUAAAAAAGGAAAGAAAUUAACAAAAGGGAGAAUUUACAAAGCCAAAAAUAAGUCAUAAGUGAUAAAUAAAAUUGAUAAGGUUGUGGAGGAAUUAUCAAGGAAAAAAAAAAGGAAAACAAGUUAUCCAAAGUAGAAACUAAAUAAAGUGGGUUAUCACACCAGAUCCUAUAGGCAUUAAAAACAUGUUAAGAAAAUAUAAGAACUUUUGCCACCAUAUUUAUUAUCACUUAGCUAAAAAAGAACAAAUUACUUCAAAAACAAAACUUACCUAAAUUGGCUCAAAAAGAAAAAAAAUCCAUACUUCUCUGUGUAUACUUCUGACUUUCAGAACUAUGUAAAUACUUUGUAUAUUUAAUAAACAAGAAAGGGGUAGGGAAAGGAGGCAAAAUUUUAUACAAGCAGAAAUAAAUUAGCUGAGGAGUAUUACAAAUAAAAUGUUCAUACUAAAGGAGGAUGGGAGAAAAAGAAUAUAAAUAAAUUAGAAAACAGUGUGUUCUAAGGCUAAAAAUAAAAAAGAACAGUAGAUAAAUUGUUGGAAAUAAUCCAAAAGUUGAACAGGAAAAAUGGGUAAUUAUUUCAUGAUAUAUUUAUACGAUAAGAUACUACUCAAGCAGUAAGAAGGGAUACUUACUAUUAUACAUAACAGAAAUGAAUCUCAAUCAGUAUAAGUAAAAGAUCAUCAGAAACAAAUGAUACAUGCUAUAUAAUUCCAUUUAUCUGGAAUUCUAAUCUACAGAGAUAGAAAUUGGUGGCUAUCAUGAGUAAUGUUUCAGUGAAGAUUGACAUGAGAGUAUGAGGGAAUAUUCUCUACAGAUGAAAUUAUCUCUAUGCUAUUGAUUUGGUGGGUAGGUGAAUUUUCAGAUUUUUCAAAAAUCAUCAAAGUAUACACUUAGAAAUAUUUAAAUUGUACCAUAUGUAAUUAUUCCUGAAUAAUAUUGAUGUUUUAAAAGAAUGGAAUAGCUCAGGCUAAAGGAAUUUCAAGACUAAAUAGCAAGCUUUUAAUCGUCAAACAAAACUAAAACCAUAUACACCUUGGGACAAGUGUUGGAAGAGAAAAAAAUUAAAGUAAUGAAAGAUAUGGUUUCAUGCUUAGUGACCAAAGGGAGAUAAAUUUAGGGUAAGUAAUUUUUUUAAUCAGACUGUGAGAUUCAUAGCCACCAAGACACACCACUGUCAGACAACAAAAAGAAAAGACCUUGAGGUAAAUGUUGAACAAAAC